AACAGACAACCAACUACUGAAGUCAAGGAGUACUGCUUCCACAACGCCCAGCCAGGUAAAUCUGUGAUGACCAGAUCCUGACCUGCACACAGAAGAGCUGCUGCAUUGGAGGAAAAAAACACAACAAAAACAGGGGCAAAAUCCAAAUUCAUUGAUGAUGUCAUCAUUGCAUACCGCAAGGCUAAACAACAACAUAGAUCAGUAGACCACAAGGGUAUUAAUCCCAGAUACAUGCAAAUCAAAUCAAGACCAACAUUUGCAACUUACCAGACCUUUCGCCAGAAUUUCUGAAGCUAAACCGAAACUUCAAACGGAAACAAGAGCAUGUGACAACUGACCUCAGCUCUUCAGAGGCUGGAGAUGAAGGUUUUUGUGGUGCAUGGAUCCCAGCAGAUGCGCAGCAGCUACAGGUGGAUAACACUCCCACUCUCUGAGAGCCGCUAAAGAUCGUCAACACCUUUUCUCUCAUAGCCACAGCAAGCUUGUUUGAGGCUGCUAUGGUAAUGUUAAGUUUUCAAUGUCUAUGCCUUUCUGAUUCAUUAGAGGCGGCUUGAUUUUUCUUCCAAUUCGUUUGCAAACAAUUGCAGGUGUAUGGUCUGCACACAUGUUCAAAUGCAUAGUAGCAGUAAAUGAUUUUCAUUGCAUGAGGUUUUACUUGAAAUUGUCAAUGGGUGUUUUACAUAGAUUAGUUUAAUAACACUAAUGAUCUGUGUAUUGAUUAAUUCUCUCUGACUAUCACUGUAGUCAUUGUGACAUUAUAGUAAAAUGUGGUUUAAAUUUUUUUGUUCAAGCUGCACCAUCAAAAAUGACUAGCAAGUAGCAAUGAAUAACAAGUGUUUUUUUCAGUAAACAACCUAUUGAGACCCAUAGAAGUCAAACUAAGAUUCAAAUGUUGCUUAGAUAUGACUCUGGUUCAGAGUCACUGAUCUAAUCUCUGCUACACCUUUAAAAAACAUAAGGCUCUAUAUAUAAACAAGUUUUAAUAA
Poecilia reticulata (guppy) is the source of this 986-nucleotide non-coding RNA. The record is from RefSeq and is a predicted model, not a curated record. NCBI's taxonomy places the organism in Eukaryota, Metazoa, Chordata, Actinopteri, Cyprinodontiformes, Poeciliidae.